ACAUGCAAGUCGAACGAUGAAGCCCAGCUUGCUGGGUGGAUUAGUGGCGAACGGGUGAGUAACACGUGAGUAACCUGCCCCCGACUCUGGGAUAAGCCCGGGAAACUGGGUCUAAUACCGGAUAUUACCUCUUGCCGCAUGGCAGGUGGUGGAAAGAUUUAUCGGUGGGGGAUGGACUCGCGGCCUAUCAGCUUGUUGGUGAGGUAAUGGCUCACCAAGGCGACGACGGGUAGCCGGCCUGAGAGGGUGACCGGCCACACUGGGACUGAGACACGGCCCAGACUCCUACGGGAGGCAGCAGUGGGGAAUAUUGCACAAUGGGCGAAAGCCUGAUGCAGCGACGCCGCGUGAGGGAUGACGGCCUUCGGGUUGUAAACCUCUUUCAGUAGGGAAGAAGCGAAAGUGACGGUACCUGCAGAAGAAGCGCCGGCUAACUACGUGCCAGCAGCCGCGGUAAUACGUAGGGCGCAAGCGUUAUCCGGAUUUAUUGGGCGUAAAGAGCUCGUAGGCGGUUUGUCGCGUCUGCCGUGAAAGUCCGAGGCUCAACCUCGGAUCUGCGGUGGGUACGGGCAGACUAGAGUGAUGUAGGGGAGACUGGAAUUCCUGGUGUAGCGGUGAAAUGCGCAGAUAUCAGGAGGAACACCGAUGGCGAAGGCAGGUCUCUGGGCAUUUACUGACGCUGAGGAGCGAAAGCAUGGGGAGCGAACAGGAUUAGAUACCCUGGUAGUCCAUGCCGUAAACGUUGGGCACUAGGUGUGGGGGACAUUCCACGUUUUCCGCGCCGUAGCUAACGCAUUAAGUGCCCCGCCUGGGGAGUACGGCCGCAA
Molecule: ribosomal RNA, 827 nt
Filed under: Arthrobacter sp. 75bB4_12EMannit
Lineage: Bacteria; Bacillati; Actinomycetota; Actinomycetes; Micrococcales; Micrococcaceae
Description: bacterial SSU rRNA
Rfam family: Bacterial small subunit ribosomal RNA
Source: RNAcentral